AAUCCUGGCUCAGGACGAACGCUGGCGGCGCGCCUAACACAUGCAAGUCGAACGGAGCUGAGAGGAGCUUGCUUUUCUUAGCUUAGUGGCGAACGGGUGAGUAACGCGUGAGUAACCUGCCCUGGAGUGGGGGACAACAGUUGGAAACGACUGCUAAUACCGCAUAAGCCCACGAUCCGGCAUCGGAUUGAGGGAAAAGGAUUUAUUCGCUUCAGGAUGGACUCGCGUCCAAUUAGCUAGUUGGUGAGG
This 249-nucleotide ribosomal RNA is filed under the name uncultured bacterium. RNAcentral describes it as "partial 16S ribosomal RNA". It matches the Rfam family "Bacterial small subunit ribosomal RNA", at positions 15 to 257 of the family's 1533-position model. The record is from RNAcentral.